AUAUUAUAAAUGCCCGUGGAGCAAUAACCUUCAUCACACUUGGAAGGGGUGUUGUUUUAAUGUUUUUCCAAGUGACAGAGUCUACAUCAAAAUUUGUGGUAGUGGAGGCCAACGUUCGCACAGCCUCUAC
This 130-nucleotide small nuclear RNA is filed under the name Phaseolus vulgaris (common bean). RNAcentral's name for it is "snRNA U1". It matches the Rfam family "U1 spliceosomal RNA", at positions 33 to 166 of the family's 166-position model. Rfam says of the family: U1 is a small nuclear RNA (snRNA) component of the spliceosome (involved in pre-mRNA splicing). Its 5' end forms complementary base pairs with the 5' splice junction, thus defining the 5' donor site of an intron. The record is from RNAcentral. Lineage: Eukaryota; Viridiplantae; Streptophyta; Magnoliopsida; Fabales; Fabaceae.